RNAcentral lists this ribosomal RNA (254 nucleotides) under uncultured bacterium. Its description in RNAcentral is "partial 16S ribosomal RNA". It matches the Rfam family "Bacterial small subunit ribosomal RNA", at positions 524 to 776 of the family's 1533-position model. The record is from RNAcentral.
CACGUAGGGGGCAAGCGUUGUCCGGAUUUAUUGGGCGUAAAGAGCUCGUAGGCGGUUCGGUAAGUCGGGUGUGAAACCUCCAGGCUCAACCUGGAGACGCCACCCGAUACUGCUGUGACUAGAGUCCGGUAGGGGAGCGUGGAAUUCCUAGUGUAGCGGUGAAAUGCGCAGAUAUUAGGAGGAACACCGGUGGCGAAGGCGCCACUCUGGGCCGAAACUGACGCUGAGGAGCGAAAGCGUGGGUAGCAAACAGG